AAAGGGCGCGUAGGCGGAAUGCUUUGUCGGGCGUGAAAUUCCAGGGCUUAACCUUGGGACUGCGUUCGAGACGGGUAUUCUAGAGUGGAGAAGAGGGUCGUGGAAUUCCCAGUGUAGAGGUGAAAUUCGUAGAUAUUGGGAAGAACACCGGUGGCGAAGGCGGCGACCUGGUCUUUUACUGACGCUGAGGCGCGAAAGCGUGGGGAGCAAACAGGAUUAGAUACCCUAGU
This 230-nucleotide ribosomal RNA is filed under the name uncultured bacterium. Its description in RNAcentral is "partial 16S ribosomal RNA". It matches the Rfam family "Bacterial small subunit ribosomal RNA", at positions 562 to 791 of the family's 1533-position model. The record is from RNAcentral.